This 300-nucleotide ribosomal RNA is filed under the name uncultured bacterium. RNAcentral's name for it is "bacterial SSU rRNA". It matches the Rfam family "Bacterial small subunit ribosomal RNA", at positions 114 to 448 of the family's 1533-position model. The record is from RNAcentral.
UGUAUGAGAAUCUACCUAAAGUCUGGCAUAAUAGAAAUUCCAGAUAUUAAUAAAGAUUGAUAUCGCUUUUAGAUGAGCUCAUAUAAGAUUAGGUAGUUGGUAGGGUAAUGGCUUACCAAGCCUACGAUCUUUAGCUGGUCUGAAAGGACGAUCAGCCACAUUGGAACUGAGACAAGGUCCAAACUCUUUUAUAUGAGGCAGCAGUGGGGAAUAUUGGACAAUGAGCGAAAGCUUGAUCCAGCAAUAUUUCAUGAGUGAACAGACAGUUGUCAAGUUGUAAAACUCUUUCAGCAAUAAAUU